AGGAUCGUGUCAAAAAGAUAAGUUCUCCUAGAAUCGAAAGAUUCAGCAUUAAACUUCCUAUUUUGACUUUAUCCG
RNAcentral lists this non-coding RNA (75 nucleotides) under Streptococcus thermophilus LMG 18311. The record is from RNAcentral. Lineage: Bacteria; Bacillati; Bacillota; Bacilli; Lactobacillales; Streptococcaceae.